UAAACCUAUGAAGCCUGAGGCUAACUUUGGG
RNAcentral lists this non-coding RNA (31 nucleotides) under Mus musculus (house mouse). The record is from RNAcentral. Lineage: Eukaryota; Metazoa; Chordata; Mammalia; Rodentia; Muridae.